GCGGACCCAGAAAUUCAUGAAAUUAUGGACAAAGAGAAGCAGAGGCAGGUAAAAGGGAUCGAACUUAUAGCAUCGGAGAAUUUUGUUUGCCGUGCGGUGAUGGAAGCUCUAGGUAGCCACUUGACGAAUAAAUACUCUGAGGGACUUCCCGGAGCCAGAUACUACACUGGAAAUCAGUAUAUUGACCAAAUUGAAUCGCUAUGUUGCAGUCGGGCAUUGGCGGCCUUUGGGCUUGAUCCUGAUAAAUGGGGCGUUAAUGUGCAGCCGUAUUCAUGUACAUCCGCAAAUUUUGCGGUUUAUACGGGGCUUUUACUACCCGGGGAUCGGAUUAUGGGUUUGGAUUCACCUUCUGGGGGGCAUUUGAGUCAUGGAUAUUAUACGCCGGGAGGGAAGGUGUCUGCUUCCUCGAUUUUCUUCGAGAGUUUGCCUUACAAAGUGAAUCCGCAAACAGGGUAUGUUGAUUAUGAUAAGAUGGAGGAGAAGGCGAUGGAUUUUAGACCCAAGAUACUUAUUUG
RNAcentral lists this unclassified non-coding RNA (515 nucleotides) under Hevea brasiliensis (rubber tree). The record is from RNAcentral. Lineage: Eukaryota; Viridiplantae; Streptophyta; Magnoliopsida; Malpighiales; Euphorbiaceae.